Molecule: ribosomal RNA, 1476 nt
Filed under: metagenome
Description: bacterial LSU rRNA
Rfam family: Bacterial large subunit ribosomal RNA
Source: RNAcentral
ACGGAGAAGGCUAGGCCAGCUUGGCGUUGGUUGUCCAAGUUUAAGGUGGUAGGCUGAAAUCUUAGGUAAAUCCGGGGUUUCAAGGCCGAGAGCUGAUGACGAGUCGUCUUUUAGAUGACGAAGUGGUUGAUGCCAUGCUUCCAAGAAAAGCUUCUAAGCUUCAGGUAACCAGGAACCGUACCCCAAACCGACACAGGUGGUCGGGUAGAGAAUACCAAGGCGCUUGAGAGAACUCGGGUGAAGGAACUAGGCAAAAUGGCACCGUAACUUCGGGAGAAGGUGCGCCGGCUAGGGUGAAGGAUUUACUCCGUAAGCUCUGGCUGGUCGAAGAUACCAGGCCGCUGCGACUGUUUAUUAAAAACACAGCACUCUGCAAACACGAAAGUGGACGUAUAGGGUGUGACGCCUCCCCGGUGCCGGAAGGUUAAUUGAUGGGGUUAGCGCAAGCGAAGCUCUUGAUCGAAGCCCCGGUAAACGGCGGCCGUAACUAUAACGGUCCUAAGGUAGCGAAAUUCCUUGUCGGGUAAGUUCCGACCUGCACGAAUGGCGUAACGAUGGCGGCGCUGUCUCCACCCGAGACUCAGUGAAAUUGAAAUCGCUGUGAAGAUGCAGUGUAUCCGCGGCUAGACGGAAAGACCCCGUGAACCUUUACUGUAGCUUUGCACUGGACUUUGAGCCUGCUUGUGUAGGACAGGUGGGAGGCUUUGAAGCGUGGACGCCAGUUCGCGUGGAGCCAUCCUUGAAAUACCACCCUGGCAUGCUUGAGGUUCUAACUCUGGUCCGUAAUCCGGAUCGAGGACAGUGUAUGGUGGGCAGUUUGACUGGGGCGGUCUCCUCCUAAAGAGUAACGGAGGAGUACGAAGGUGCGCUCAGACCGGUCGGAAAUCGGUCGCAGAGUAUAAAGGCAAAAGCGCGCUUGACUGCGAGACAGACACGUCGAGCAGGUACGAAAGUAGGUCUUAGUGAUCCGGUGGUUCUGUAUGGAAGGGCCAUCGCUCAACGGAUAAAAGGUACUCCGGGGAUAACAGGCUGAUACCGCCCAAGAGUUCAUAUCGACGGCGGUGUUUGGCACCUCGAUGUCGGCUCAUCACAUCCUGGGGCUGAAGCCGGUCCCAAGGGUAUGGCUGUUCGCCAUUUAAAGUGGUACGCGAGCUGGGUUUAGAACGUCGUGAGACAGUUCGGUCCCUAUCUGCCGUGGACGUUUGAGAUUUGAGAGGGGCUGCUCCUAGUACGAGAGGACCGGAGUGGACGAACCUCUGGUGUUCCGGUUGUCACGCCAGUGGCAUUGCCGGGUAGCUAUGUUCGGAAAAGAUAACCGCUGAAAGCAUCUAAGCGGGAAACUUGCCUCAAGAUGAGAUCUCACUGGGAACUUGAUUCCCCUGAAGGGCCGUCGAAGACUACGACGUUGAUAGGCUGGGUGUGUAAGCGUUGUGAGGCGUUGAGCUAACCAGUACUAAUUGCCCGUGAGGCUUGACC